RNAcentral lists this ribosomal RNA (449 nucleotides) under uncultured Anoxybacillus sp. RNAcentral describes it as "bacterial SSU rRNA". It matches the Rfam family "Bacterial small subunit ribosomal RNA", at positions 933 to 1382 of the family's 1533-position model. Lineage: Bacteria; Bacillati; Bacillota; Bacilli; Caryophanales; Anoxybacillaceae. The record is from RNAcentral.
UGGAGCAUGUGGUUAAUUCGAAGCAACGCGAAGAACCUUACCAGGUCUUGACAUCCCCUGACAACCCGAGAGAUCGGGCGUUCCCCUUCGGGGGACAGGGUGACAGGUGGUGCAUGGUUGUCGUCAGCUCGUGUCGUGAGAUGUUGGGUUAAGUCCCGCAACGAGCGCAACCCUCGACCUUAGUUGCCAACAUUCAGUUGGGCACUCUAAGGUGACUGCCGGCUAAAAGUCGGAGGAAGGUGGGGAUGACGUCAAAUCAUCAUGCCCCUUAUGACCUGGGCUACACACGUGCUACAAUGGGCGGUACAAAGGGUCGCGAACCCGCGAGGGGGAGCCAAUCCCAAAAAGCCGCUCUCAGUUCGGAUUGCAGGCUGCAACUCGCCUGCAUGAAGCCGGAAUCGCUAGUAAUCGCGGAUCAGCAUGCCGCGGUGAAUACGUUCCCGGGCCUU